This 556-nucleotide ribosomal RNA is filed under the name uncultured bacterium. RNAcentral's name for it is "bacterial SSU rRNA". It matches the Rfam family "Bacterial small subunit ribosomal RNA", at positions 119 to 674 of the family's 1533-position model. The record is from RNAcentral.
GAAUUACAUGCCCUUCAGUGGGGAAUAGCCCAGGGAAACUUGGAUUAAUACCCCAUGGUAUCGCAAGAUUAAAGGUGGCCGCAAGGCUGUCGCUGAAGGAUUGGUUCGCGCCCUAUCAGCUUGUUGGUGAGGUAACGGCUCACCAAGGCUACGACGGGUACCUGGUCUGAGAGGACGAUCAGGCACACUGGAACUGAGACACGGUCCAGACACCUACGGGUGGCAGCAGUCGAGAAUAAUUCACAAUGGGGGCAACCCUGAUGGUGCAACGCCGCGUGGAGGAUGACGGUCUUCGGAUUGUAAACUCCUGUCAUCUGGGAGUAAGACCUGGCUGUGAAUAGCAGACAGGGUUGAUAGUACCAGAAGAGGAAGGGACGGCUAACUUCGUGCCAGCAGCCGCGGUAAUACGAAGGUCCCGAGCGUUGUUCGGAAUCACUGGGCGUAAAGGGAGCGUAGGCGGCGUGGUAAGUCAGAUGUGAAAUCCCGGGGCUCAACCCCGGAACUGCAUCCGAUACUGCCGUGCUAGAGGAUUGGAGAGGUAGCUGGAAUUCUUGGU